GGAGAAGUGGCCGAGUGGUUAAGGCGUCACGUUUAGGCUUUAGGCUAGGGUUCCUUUGGAAUCCUUUCCCAGAUCCCACCGUGAUCCGAAAGGGCGCGAGUUCGAAUCUCGUCUUCUUCA
This 120-nucleotide transfer RNA is filed under the name Gomphillus americanus. It matches the Rfam family "tRNA". Rfam says of the family: Transfer RNA (tRNA) molecules are approximately 80 nucleotides in length. Their secondary structure includes four short double-helical elements and three loops (D, anti-codon, and T loops). Further hydrogen bonds mediate the characteristic L-shaped molecular structure. tRNAs have two regions of fundamental functional importance: the anti-codon, which is responsible for specific mRNA codon recognition, and the 3' end, to which the tRNAs corresponding amino acid is attached (by aminoacyl-tRNA synthetases). tRNAs cope with the degeneracy of the genetic code in two manners: having more than one tRNA (with a specific anti-codon) for a particular amino acid; and 'wobble' base-pairing, i.e. permitting non-standard base-pairing at the 3rd anti-codon position. The record is from Rfam by way of RNAcentral. Lineage: Eukaryota; Fungi; Ascomycota; Lecanoromycetes; Ostropales; Graphidaceae.